RNAcentral lists this transfer RNA (75 nucleotides) under Mycobacteroides abscessus. Its description in RNAcentral is "tRNA-Thr". It matches the Rfam family "tRNA". From Rfam's summary of the family: Transfer RNA (tRNA) molecules are approximately 80 nucleotides in length. The record is from RNAcentral. Lineage: Bacteria; Bacillati; Actinomycetota; Actinomycetes; Mycobacteriales; Mycobacteriaceae.
GCCGGAUUAGCUCAACAGGCAGAGCACCUGUCUAGUAAACAGGACACGCGGGUUCGAGUCCUGCAUCCGGCUCCA